AGGAUGAACGCUGGCGGCGUGCUUAACACAUGCAAGUCGAACGGUGAAAGAGGAGCUUGCUCCUCUGGAUCAGUGGCGAACGGGUGAGUAACACGUGAGUAACCUGCCCCAGACUCUGGGAUAAGCGUUGGAAACGACGUCUAAUACCGGAUACGAGCUUCAGCCGCAUGGCUAGGAGCUGGAAAGAAUUUCGGUCUGGGAUGGACUCGCGGCCUAUCAGGUAGUUGGUGAGGUAACGGCCCACCAAGCCUACGACGGGUAGCCGGCCUGAGAGGGUGACCGGCCACACUGGGACUGAGACACGGCCCAGACUCCUACGGGAGGCAGCAGUGGGGAAUAUUGCACAAUGGGCGCAAGCCUGAUGCAGCAACGCCGCGUGAGGGACGACGGCCUUCGGGUUGUAAACCUCUUUAGUAGGGAAGAAGCGAAAGUGACGGUACCUGCAGAAAAGCACCGGCUAACUACGCGCCAGCAGCCGCGGU
Molecule: ribosomal RNA, 482 nt
Filed under: uncultured bacterium
Lineage: Bacteria
Description: SSU rRNA
Rfam family: Bacterial small subunit ribosomal RNA
Source: RNAcentral